Long non-coding RNA from Ipomoea nil (Japanese morning glory), 666 nucleotides. RefSeq lists it as uncharacterized. The record is from RefSeq and is a predicted model, not a curated record. The transcript has 3 exons. Lineage: Eukaryota; Viridiplantae; Streptophyta; Magnoliopsida; Solanales; Convolvulaceae.
UUUCCCAUUUCUUCCGUCUCCUCUCUUCCUUGCGUAGACCACCGGCGACAUGGUGAUGGUCCGGCGAGCUCUGACGACCUCCAAGUGGAGCGGAUCGGCGUUAGCAACAGGAGACUAACAACCCCACCGGCUUCCUCCGCCUUCUCUCUUCUUCUCGUCAAUAGUAGCAGUGGUGGAGUUCCCGGUGAGUAAGCAGAUGCGGGGAACAAUGGACUUGGUGUUCUCCGGUCAGGCACGAGCAAAUAUGGUGAAGCAGCGAGUGGCGGAGACCUUCCUUUUUCUGGCAGCGGACAUCAAAUCCGUGGGUUCUUUGUUAAAGUGGCUAUCGAGUGAGCUCAAUAAUUGAAUACGUUGCUUUGGAGCUCGGAUUAAAGGUGGGCCCAACUCUUGAGAGUGCUCGAGUUAGACUAGUGUAGUUAGUUGCUAUGUUGUCUAAACUCUUUGAUCUUUUAUCGUUAUUUUUGAGAUUAUGGAUGUAGACACCUUAUGUUUUGUUGGUGAUAGACACCGGGGUACUUUUCCCCAAGUUACUUUAACGUAGUAAAUUUUGGAUGUUAGUUUGACUUGAUGUUUAGUUUUACCCUUUGCCUGGGCAAUCACCGUGGGAAGGUGGUUGUGGCGGUGACAUUCCCACUAAGUUUGUUAAUUAAGUUUGUUUUUCCGCUG